GCCUGACUGUAAACCUCUAGCCAAAAAAGUACAAGCUAACCGCUCAAAACUUAAAAGACCUGGCGGUACUCUAUAUCAGCCUAGAGGGGCCCGUCCAAUAACCGAUAAUCCACGAUAAACCCUACCGCCUCUCGCCACUUCAGCCUAUAUACCGCCGUCUCCAGCACAUUUUUCAAAAAAUGGAAGCCUAAUAGUAUUUAUCACUAGUACGUCAGGUCAAGGUGUAGCUUAUGAAGCGGAUAGCGCGAGCCACAAUAAUAUAACGCACUGAAACCCUGUUGAAAUAUAGGACAGAAAGAAGAAUUUAGCAGUAAGGAGGGUUGAAUGCCCUCCUGAACCUCCACGCCCUAGAGUACGC
RNAcentral lists this ribosomal RNA (358 nucleotides) under Draco dussumieri. RNAcentral's name for it is "12S ribosomal RNA". The record is from RNAcentral. Lineage: Eukaryota; Metazoa; Chordata; Lepidosauria; Squamata; Agamidae.